CAGAUAAAUGAGUUCUGUGCCCACGAGUUCUGCCUGUUUUUGCCAGCUACCUUCCUCAGCACAGUGAUGAUCAAGUAGGACUCUUUGGCUUUCUCCCAAGGAAUAUCUCAGAUGAACCCUCCCGGGCGGCACAGCAGAGCUGCUGCAUCUGUGGCCAGAGCGGGGCCACCAUCACCUGCUGCGAAACAGACUGUGACCUGAGCUUCCACCUGCCCUGUGCCAAGUAGGGAGGCCGUGUCACCCAGUUCAUGGCACCGUACAGGUACCUCCUGUCCCCUCCACC
Long non-coding RNA from Neopelma chrysocephalum (saffron-crested tyrant-manakin), 283 nucleotides. RefSeq lists it as uncharacterized. The record is from RefSeq and is a predicted model, not a curated record. Lineage: Eukaryota; Metazoa; Chordata; Aves; Passeriformes; Pipridae. The transcript has 3 exons.